Molecule: ribosomal RNA, 185 nt
Filed under: Jacquemontia verticillata
Lineage: Eukaryota; Viridiplantae; Streptophyta; Magnoliopsida; Solanales; Convolvulaceae
Description: 5.8S ribosomal RNA
Rfam family: 5.8S ribosomal RNA (bases 6-155)
About the family: 5.8S ribosomal RNA (5.8S rRNA) is a component of the large subunit of the eukaryotic ribosome. It is transcribed by RNA polymerase I as part of the 45S precursor that also contains 18S and 28S rRNA.
Source: RNAcentral
CUCGGCUCUCGCAUCGAUGAAGAACGUUGCAUCGAUGAAGAACGCAGCGAAAUGCGAUACUUGGUGUGAAUUGCAGAAUCCCGUGAACCAUCGAGUCUUUGAACGCAAGUUGCGCCCGAAGCCGUCAGGCCGAGGGCACGUCUGCCUGGGCGUCACGCAUCGCGUCGCCCCCCCUUCCCGCGACC